This is a long non-coding RNA of Micropterus salmoides (largemouth bass), 839 nucleotides long. RefSeq lists it as uncharacterized. Lineage: Eukaryota; Metazoa; Chordata; Actinopteri; Centrarchiformes; Centrarchidae. The record is from RefSeq and is a predicted model, not a curated record. The transcript is spliced from 3 exons.
GGCGUUGUAGUCAGUAGCUGGUACGAUCAGCCGGACAACUCCCGUACCCCAGCACGGAUAGCAGCUAAACGGAGGCUGCAUUUCCCGAGAAUUUGGCCCAUCCCCUCGGAUAUUUCUCCCAUAGAAAAAAAACAACAACACACCGCUGCCGUUUCUCCUUCAUCUGUUAUCCCGGUAAUCUCGACAGAGCUGCUGGAAAGUGAAGCAGCACAGAGCACAGACUCCUCCUGACCAGACCACACCUCUGUCCCCAAUUCCAUGGAAGCCAAGGCCAAGUCCGGGGCUCCAGCGCCCAAGGCGGCAUCUAAAGCAGAGAAGAAGGAGCCGGCAGCCCCACGCAAGGUUGACCCUGCUCCUGCAGCCCCUGAGCCUGAGCAUCCACCUCCCCAGGAUGGGGCCGCAGAAGCUGAAGCAGCAGCGGCAGGUGACGAGGCUGCGGCCUCCGGCACAGACUCUCUGGAACACCUGAAACCCUUUCUCAUCGGUGGUGCCAUUAUUGCUGCAGGAGCCAUCUUGCUGGGAGUUCUGCUACUGGCGAGGAGAAAUUAAAACCAAAUAAUUAUUUCAAAUUAAAGUAUUUACAGGUUGAUGAUUUAGCGCGUUGUUGCUGAGUGGUUCACAGACUUUGAUGUUACACAUGGGAGAUGGGGAGCCACUGUGCAUCUUAUAUGCUUCUUUUUUAAUUUUUUUGGCCUGCUUUCACUUGUAGUGAAUUGAACCAUUCGCGUUUAUCAAGGCUGUAUAUGGAGCAUAAUUACACGUAGUAUAUGCAUGAAGUUGCGUCAGUACUGCGUCUCAACUGUAACAAUAUAUUUAUUAAAAAAAAACUCUAAAGACUA